CUCAAACAUUAUUUUUCACUUGUUUGAAAAAUAUUAUAGCUAAAAUCAUGGUUUGAUAUCCAAAAAUUGGUUUGAUUUGGUUUAGUUCGAAUUUUAUUUUUUUCAAAUCAUUUAUAAUUUUGAAAAAUAUAUAUAUAGUUUUCUCAUUUUUUUGAGUUUCCUCGUUCAUCUUCUCCAUCCUUUUGUCAACCAUUGAUGUUAGAUAGCAUUAUUCUUUUUCAUAUAAAUUUAUAACCUAAAACAAACAAAAUAAACACAAAAUAAUAAGAAUCAAUCUCACAAACUUGACAGUUAUGUAAAUUCAAGACCCAGAAUAAGUGUAAAAAUAUAUACUUACAAAGACCUUUUUAAAUAAAUUGAGUAUAGGUCGAUUUGAGGAUUAGGCUUGAGAUUCCAACAAGGUAAAGUACUUUGGUAGCUUGUAAGACGCUUGGGUGGCUGAAUAGCUUUGUGGAUUUUAAGAGAUUAUUUUUCUCUAUCUCCAAAAUAUAUGGAUUAAUACAAUAUGGAUUUCUUGCUAAAAAUUGGAAGAAUCGGGUUUCGAUCUGGUUGACGGUUAACACUCGGUGGUUGGCUUAGGAUGAGGAAAUACAUGGUUAUUUGGAAUUAAAAAUAAAGGUAACUCUUGGUUAUUUUGAUGUAUAUAUCUUGUUCUCUUUGUCUCUGUAAUUGAUUUUCUUUUAUGUUCUACCAAUUUUUACCCCCUGAAGUUGUCUUUUGUCAUAUGUACGUAUAAGUGUACGCAGUUUGCCGUUGCUUAUGUAAAUAAUAAAUCAUAGUUUUUAAAGAUGUCAGAGGGUGUAUUCAAUUGAGACUUUUAAUGACUUUUUGAUAUUUAAAAAGUUCAGGGGUGUCCAAUUGAGAUUUUUUGAAACUCUCUAAAAGUCACAAUGUAUUCAAUUGAGACUUCUAGAAACUUUAAAAAGUCUCUAAAAGUUACGGUGUAUUUAAUUAAAAAUUUUUAGAAAUCUCUACAAGUCUUUAAGCAAAAAGUACUCAUAAAAUUUUAAAAUUUGUCUCUCAUUAAUCACGAGAUUUUGGGAAACUUUCACAAAAAAUUAAAAAAAAAAUCGAAUUUUCUUUCUUUUAACAUUCUGUGGACAAGUAUGAUUAAAAUUUAUUUUUUAUUGAUUAUAUUUCAUUUAUCUUUUUUUAUCUCUCUCUUAUUAUUUAUCUCUAUUUUCUGUGAAAAAUUUUGGAUUCUUGUAACUUUUUUUUUCUUUUUUCAAUCAUUUUUUUUUUGAAAAAAAUAUCUAUUUUUUAAUUAAAUUAUAAAUUAUAAAAGUUUAUAUGAAAAAUUUAUAAUUAAAUUUAAAUAUAUUGAUUUUUAUUUAUUUUUAAAAGUUACUAUACUAAUAAUAUUGAAUCGUGUGUGAGAGUGAGAGUGUGAGUGUGAGUGUGAGUGUGAGUGUGUGUAUGUAUGUGUAUAAUUUUUUUUUAUUAUAUGGGAUGUGUAUGUAUGUGUAUAAUUUUUUUUUAUUAUAUGGGAAGAAGAAUGGGAAUUGUGGGAACUAACAUCCCAUAUGUGAGAAUUUCACACCAAGUCUACGUGAAUUCUAUUUCAAAGAAAGUUUUCAAAAGUCUUUUGAAUUCCCCGAAAGUCUAUAAAAGUUUUAAAAUGAAAAUCCAUAGAAGUCUAUGAAAGACUUUUACUAAUUCCAUACAAAUCUAUAAAAGAUCCAUGAAAUCCACAAAAGUCAUUACUUAAAAAAAGUCUAUCAAAGUCUUCAAAAAUCCCAAUUGAAUACACCGUGUAUUCUAUAAAAUACAAGGAUAGACGAUUUUACCUGCCUCUUUUUUGGAUGAUAAGAACGGGGAAUCAUAUUAGAAUUUCAUUGCAAUCCAGGCCACCAUCCAUCUUCCUUUUAACCACCAAUAUUUGGUUCAAAUUAAAUCUUUCUUCCGAGGUAUCUUUUAUGUACUUGGUUUUUUCUUCAUGAUAUGUUCCCUUCCCUUGGAGAGUAGUUCAAAAAUUUAUUCCAAGAUGUGUAUUCUGUGGCUGGAGAUAUGUCACAGAGUAUUGGCAAUUAUUGACGGACGAAUAUAUUAAGAGUGGUGAGCAAUUGGGACAUGUUAUUUUACUGGAUAAUUGAAACCAUUUAUUUCAGGGCUUUGAACGACUGAAUAAUGUGACUUGCCACAUCGAUGUGUGCAUAUGUCAUUUUUCCAAGCAAGCAAGAUUAUAUACACAUUUGCCAAAUUUUGUUUGUAAGACUGUAUUUCUAAGGCAUUGGAUAUGAGUCUUGACUGAGUGUAAGUGCAGGGGCAGCUGUGAUGAUAGAGGAAAUGUGAACUCGAUUUAGUUCACGAGGCACUGUUAGAACAAUGACCCACUUCUUAGAAUCUGGCUAGUAGAGCCCAGUCUUCAGAGAAAUAUGGAUUGUUGGUUUUUGGAUGAUCUGAUCCUCUUUGUCCAGCUGUCUUUCCCUCUGAAGUUGGUGUACUUCGAAAAUUACAUAAUUCUUUGUGGUUCUUGUCAUCUGUGGUUUGCUUUUGAAUUUUAAAUGUCACAUAUAUGUGUAGGUCACUGAUGUCUCUGUCUACAGAACUAGAUAUUUUACACUUAUCACAAAUUUGGUCGACAGGAAUGAAUAGUAAUGAACACUAUGAAGAAGAUAAAGAAGUUAAAAUCUUGUACAUUGAACUCUUGUCCAUAAUUGCAUAACAAACAUGAAUUAUCGUGUAACUCUGGACUUGUGACUACUGUAACGAGGAUGUUAUUUGAGUUGAAGAGCAAGGAAAUGAAUUGGUUCUCUGUCGAUUGAUUUAACAUUGAAUUUAUAGCACCUAUAUUUUAUUUUGUAAAAAUUGUCUUGACACCUUGUCUUUCUCAUCAGAGAACCAAGAGGUCAUACUGGAACAACAAGAUCCCUCAAUAGAGUUGUUGCAAGUUUUUAACUCUUGCAUUUUGACCCUCUAUAGCUUUUCGAUCUGUGAUUCUCUUACGUUCAUGCAUGUAUUGUACCAUUUGAAGGAGUUGCUGGGAGAAUACAGUCUUUCUAAAACCAUUGAUCCUGAAAUCAGUUAUUCUUGAUAUUAAAUGUAAUAAUUGACUUAUUUUCCCUAACUGACCAGGGAACUACAUAUACUCAAUCUGCGAAGAGCAAAUCAAAGAAGAAAAAGUGGAAAAAUAGCAUGUUCGGAUGGUUAACCCUACGAGCAGUAAAACAAGGUAACAGUCCUUGUAACAUAACUUAAGGAUCCAUAUUUGCGGAAGCUAGGAAGGUGAAGUAAUUUCCAAAAAAGAACUGUCUUCAAAGGGCCUACCUCGCUUGUAGCACGAGGGAGAAACUUCACGUAUAUUUUUUUGGGUGACAGUUUUGAGAGUUGAGCAAUUUAAAUGCCUGAUUAACUGAAAGUUAACUUCCAAAACUCAAGUUUUCGUUGGGAAAUAGGAGAUUUUUGUUAAAUUAUAUGCUUAUCAUGUCAAUUGAGUUAAUUAUUCUCAGUUUACUUUUGGAUAAUGUGAGAUAAGAACUUCAAUGAGGUUUUGUGAAAUUUCUUAUAGAUAAGGGCUAUCAGGUUGCUUCUGGAAUUGCAUCACUAGAUUUUACUAGGAAAAUGUACUAUCGGGUCCGAAGUAAUUGUCUAAAUAGCAAGUUAGGUUGACUUUUAAAAAGGAUCGAGUGUAUUCUUAACCUUUUAAUAUAGUUGCAUAUCUAGUCUUGAAUGCAUUCACAACGGCCAAAUCUCUUUAAAUUGUAAUGUGGCUAUCAUGAAAAUAUGAGUCACUUGAAGUUUAUAUGCACCUGCUUGAGUUAAGAAGCUAGUUUCUGCUUCAUACAAUUGGACAUCAGAGGACCAAGUGAUGACAAACAAAGAUUUAAAUGAUUUUGUCAUUGGGAUUUGGGAUGUUCACUUAAUGCAGUGAUUUGUAAUGAAAGUUGGGAACGAAAUUUGGGGUUCUUGAACGCCGUUCAAGGUAUAUUUUCGUGUUUUUACGUCCAUGUUGCACACAUGAAUUGCUAGAGCUCUACUCUUGCGGUAAUAAAUGUUAC
This 3998-nucleotide long non-coding RNA is filed under the name Olea europaea subsp. europaea. Lineage: Eukaryota; Viridiplantae; Streptophyta; Magnoliopsida; Lamiales; Oleaceae. The record is from RNAcentral.